Molecule: ribosomal RNA, 468 nt
Filed under: uncultured bacterium
Lineage: Bacteria
Description: partial 16S ribosomal RNA
Rfam family: Bacterial small subunit ribosomal RNA
Source: RNAcentral
GACGAACGCUGGCGGCGUGCUUAACACAUGCAAGUCGAACGGAAAGGCCCUGCUUUUGUGGGGUGCUCGAGUGGCGAACGGGUGAGUAACACGUGAGUAACCUGCCCUUGACUUUGGGAUAACUUCAGGAAACUGGGGCUAAUACCGGAUAGGAGCUCCUGCUGCAUGGUGGGGGUUGGAAAGUUUCGGCGGUUGGGGAUGGACUCGCGGCUUAUCAGCUUGUUGGUGGGGUAGUGGCUUACCAAGGCUUUGACGGGUAGCCGGCCUGAGAGGGUGACAGGACAGAGUGGGACUGAGAUACGGCCCAGACUGCUACGGGAGGCAGCAGUGGGGAAUAUUGCACAAUGGGCGGAAGCCUGAUGCAGCAACGCCGCGUGCGGGAUGACGGCCUUCGGGUUGUAAACCGCUUUCGCCUGUGACGAAGCGUGAGUGACGGUAAUGGGUAAAGAAGCACCGGCUAACUACGUG